CUGGUGAAAGAGAAAUCGAAAGAAUGUAUCAUUUUGUGUAGGGUAGCAGAGAAUAAUUGAAUUACCUUCAACGUCAGUGUUGGAAUACAAAAAAAAUACAAAAGCAAAAGUAUUACCUAAUGAUUUCGGGAUUAUAAACUUUUACGUUUCAGAUUGAAUUGAAAAUUUCAACUUUUUUUUGUGGUCUAAUAAAUUUAUUUAUCUCUAGUUAGGAUUUACUAACGCUUUUGAGGUGGUUUGAAUAAAAAGAAAGCACUUCUGAAAAAGAAUAAGUGAAAACCUGGAUUAGGUAAGCACGUUAGGUACUUAAACUAAUAGAAAAUUUAUCUUAGUUGGAGAUUCAAAGGAGAACGUAUUCCAUUUGCAUGGAUAUCACUUUUAUGUGGUAGGGUCUACCAACCUGGAAAAGUCGAUGGAGCUUGAAAAUAUUAAAGAAUUAGACUCAAAGGGGAAAUUAUUCAAAAGGAAUCUGGAAAGUCCAGUAUUAAAGGAUACAAUACGAAUACCAAAAUAUGGAGCAGUAUCAUUUAGAUUUAUAGCUGAUAAUCCAGGUUUUUGGAUUUUACGUGAUGAAAUGUCCUUAGAAUGGACCAGAGGAAUGGAUGUAGUUUUUCAUAUCGGCUCCUGCUGUGAUAUGCCUUCAAUACCCAGUAACUUUCCUAAAUGUGGGAACUGGGUUGGCCCUGAAUUUUUCUUACUGUGAUUAUUUGCAAUUAUUGUUUACUAGUUAUGAUUGUUGUUAAUAAAUUUUUUUCUAUUAA
Long non-coding RNA from Agrilus planipennis (emerald ash borer), 761 nucleotides. RefSeq lists it as uncharacterized. NCBI's taxonomy places the organism in Eukaryota, Metazoa, Arthropoda, Insecta, Coleoptera, Buprestidae. The record is from RefSeq and is a predicted model, not a curated record. The transcript is spliced from 2 exons.